AACAUCAGCUGCUUUCUCCUGCUGGUUUAAACCUUGUUGGACAGAUGGAACAUUGGCUGUGGAUUAUUCUGGCUGCUCUUUUCUCUGAGUGUAAAGGAGACUCAGUGACGCAGACAGAAAGAGAAGUUGUUGCUGCUGCAGGAGAAACUCGGAUUCUAGGAUGUACCUUUGAAACCAGUGUUUAUUCGAAUGUUUACCUAUUCUGGUAUAAACAAGAAGGAAACAGUUCACCAAAGUACAUGCUGAAACGAUUCUCAUCAACACGAGAUAAUGCUGCAGAUUUCAGCAAAGAUAGAUUUGAUGCUGAACUCAACACUGAUAAGAAAUCAGUCAACCUGACGAUCCAGGAUCUCCGUCCGUCAGACUCUGCUGUGUACUACUGCGCUCUGCAGCCCACAGUGACAGGAAACACCAGAACCCUGUACAAAAACCUGCAGUACUCCACAGCAGCCACUAGAGGGCCUCAUGAACCAGG
Non-coding RNA from Poecilia latipinna (sailfin molly), 475 nucleotides. The record is from the annotation of a RefSeq genome assembly. NCBI's taxonomy places the organism in Eukaryota, Metazoa, Chordata, Actinopteri, Cyprinodontiformes, Poeciliidae.